Molecule: ribosomal RNA, 253 nt
Filed under: uncultured bacterium
Lineage: Bacteria
Description: partial 16S ribosomal RNA
Rfam family: Bacterial small subunit ribosomal RNA
Source: RNAcentral
UACGGAGGGUGCGAGCGUUGUCCGGAAUCACUGGGCGUAAAGGGCGCGUAGGCGGCAUGCCAAGCGUGUGGUGAAAGCCCGGGGCUCAACCCCGGGUCGGCCGUGCGGACUGGCGUGCUCGAGCACUGUAGGGGCGGGUGGAAUUCCGGGUGUAGCGGUGGAAUGCGUAGAGAUCCGGAAGAACACCGGAGGCGAAGGCGGCUUGCUGGACCUGGUCUGACGCUGAGGCGCGAAAGCGUGGGGAGCGAACAGG